Long non-coding RNA from Mustela erminea (ermine), 607 nucleotides. RefSeq lists it as uncharacterized. The record is from RefSeq and is a predicted model, not a curated record. Lineage: Eukaryota; Metazoa; Chordata; Mammalia; Carnivora; Mustelidae. The transcript is spliced from 5 exons.
UCCAGACAGGGCCACGAAGAGGAACGUUCAUCUACGGCAUCAUAACAGACAGCCACAGAUGGGAGAACAUUUCAGAAUUCAGCAAUAGAAAGCCAGAAGUGGAUCUUUACAGGGGGAGUUAUUUCUAAUUCUCCACACCUAGACACAACUCAGGUCACUACUUUGAUAUCGACAGCACGGAGCCAAGCCGGCACAGCAGGAACAGAACAAGAUCACUGGGGUCACAAGACAACUGGCUUCCAGAAAGCCCACUCUUGACACAAAAGAAGCUUCUUGCAGCUGCUCUGUCUCGAGCUCACCAGCUUGGUGGGGGCUGGGGUGGAGGGGACUGGAACACACCAUCAAAAACUGGACUCAGGCAGCUAGCAGGCGCCCUGGCCAGGCUCUCUCGGAUCUGGAAGGAAGGCGAGGAGCCUCGGGUGUGCUCAUCCACAGCCGGGCUCAGCCUGCUGCUCGCCAGGGACACUGGGGAUGCCCGGUGGGCCGCCGCCGCCCUGUUAUGCUUGUGCUCUUUCUUCCAAAACACAGAUCUCAGCAAGAGCUGGCAGCGUCCGACUUCACAUCCUCGCCGGCAGCACCCGUCAACAGCGGCACGAUGGACUGGCUC